GAAGGGAGGCCCUUCGAAGUCGCCCUGGAGGGGCAGGCUUCAAACAGCCAGAAGCUGCUGCGGACAAAAGCCGUGGUGGUGAACGUUCUGGUGCAAAGGCGUGACCGUGAACACGUCAUG
This is a non-coding RNA of Cyanobacteria bacterium 13_1_40CM_2_61_4, 120 nucleotides long. The record is from Rfam. NCBI's taxonomy places the organism in Bacteria, Bacillati, Cyanobacteriota.